RNAcentral lists this ribosomal RNA (301 nucleotides) under uncultured bacterium. RNAcentral's name for it is "partial 16S ribosomal RNA". It matches the Rfam family "Bacterial small subunit ribosomal RNA", at positions 509 to 807 of the family's 1533-position model. The record is from RNAcentral.
CAGUCGCCGCGGUAAUACGUAGGGUGCAAGCGUUAAUCGGAAUUACUGGGCGUAAAGCGCACGCAGGCGGUCUGACAAGUCGGAUGUGAAAUCCCCGGGCUUAACCUGGGAACUGCAUUUGAAACUGUCAGGCUGGAGUCUUGUAGAGGGGGGUAGAAUUCCAGGUGUAGCGGUGAAAUGCGUAGAGAUCUGGAGGAAUACCGGUGGCGAAGGCGGCCCCCUGGACAAAGACUGACGCUCAGGUGCGAAAGCGUGGGGAGCAAACAGGAUUAGAUACCCCGGUAGUCCCUGUCUCUUAUAC